This 375-nucleotide unclassified non-coding RNA is filed under the name uncultured fungus. RNAcentral's name for it is "partial contains small subunit ribosomal RNA, internal transcribed spacer 1, and 5.8S ribosomal RNA". The stretch from base 1 to 73 matches the Rfam family "Eukaryotic small subunit ribosomal RNA", at positions 1759 to 1831 of the family's 1831-position model. The record is from RNAcentral. Lineage: Eukaryota; Fungi.
GCAAACUUGGUCAUUUAGAGGAAGUAAAAGUCGUAACAAGGUUUCCGUAGGUGAACCUGCGGAAGGAUCAUUAACGAAUAACUAUGGUGUCUUGGUUGUAGCUGGCUCCUCGGAGCAUUGUGCACGCCCGCCAUUUUUAUCUUUCCACCUGUGCACCGACUGUAGGUGUCUGGAUAACCCUCGUCUUCCUCUCUUGGAAGGCGGAUGCGAGGAUUGCCCGUGAGGGCUCUCCUCGAAUUUCCAGGCUCCUACGUCUUUUACACACCCCCAACAGUAUGAUAUAGAAUGAUAGUCAAUGGGCUUUGACAGCCUAUAUAACACUAUACAACUUUCAGCAACGGAUCUCUUGGCUCUCGCAUCGAUGAAGAACGCAGC